Long non-coding RNA from Vigna angularis (adzuki bean), 785 nucleotides. RefSeq lists it as uncharacterized. The record is from RefSeq and is a predicted model, not a curated record. Lineage: Eukaryota; Viridiplantae; Streptophyta; Magnoliopsida; Fabales; Fabaceae. The transcript has 5 exons.
CCGCAAGAGAGAGACGUUAAGUACAAAGAAAAAUAAAAAACUUGCAGUCACCAACCAAAAUCCCAAAACCGCUAAUCACAGCACAGUGACACUACCAAAAAUCAAAACAAAUUUGGCGGAUGCAAAAUUUUCUUCCAUUCUCCAAUCCCACCACAACAACGAAACCACUCCAAAAUCUAAAACUGUGAAUAUAAACAAACAAUCCAAGCGAGAGAAAACAUGCUACUCCAUCCCGUGCUUCCUCUCUCUCCCUAUCCAUCUUUCGUUUCAAACCGUUCGCUCCGAUUUCGCCCUCGUUGGAGCAACUUCGUUCCUCGUCGCGCCGUCCAGUGCACUGCCGCGGUCUCCGGCGGCGACGAGUUCACUGCGAAGACGGGGUGAUUUUAGUAGAGCUUUUUAAAUGUUGAGUGCAUAAGUUUAUUUUAGUUUAGGUUAGAGCUGCUGAGCUAAGGAAAAUGUUGACAGAGUUUGGGCCGGCAUAUAUUAAAAUUGCCCAGGCUAUAUCAUCUCGUGCUGUGUGAUUGCUACGUAUGCCUUAUAACUUCAAUACCAGUUGAUAGGGAGUUAUUUAUUUUUCUAUGAACUCAGUUUUGGGGGGAGUGAGGCAUAGUACAUGUUGCCUACAUGGUACCCUUCAAUCUUGUAUCUAUCUGAUUGGGUCAGCAAUGAACUGCUCAUAAUACAUAAACAGAAAUUGUUUUUGUGAUGCACCACAGGAACACAGACCUCAGUUCAUACACCUCACUCCUGAAUCUGGACAGGCUCAAAACCCCUAUCAAUUGAAG